GGAUACGUAAAAGAGUGCGAUUCCUUUGUUAGGGACGACAAUCUAACUCAGAGGUUGCAGAAUAACGAAGAACGGCUACAAGGCAAGAGGGAAGGAGGAAGGAGGAAGGAGGAGGACGGCCAAGGCCUAACCUUAAACAAUUUUCUUUUUUUUAUUUUAACCCUAGUUUAAAGGCCUUAACUGAUUUAUGGGCUUUUCUUUUUGUAUGAUGUUG
Molecule: long non-coding RNA, 214 nt
Filed under: Ricinus communis (castor bean)
Lineage: Eukaryota; Viridiplantae; Streptophyta; Magnoliopsida; Malpighiales; Euphorbiaceae
Description: long non-coding RNA (RCOM_LNC003580)
Source: RNAcentral